CCCUUAGAUGUCCUGGGCCGCACGCGCGCUACACUGAUGCAUUCAACGGGUUUUACCUUGGCCGAGAGGCCUGGGCAAUCUUUUAAACCUGCAUCGUGAUAGGGAUAGAUUAUUGCAAUUAUUAAUCUUGAACGAGGAAUUCCUAGUAAACGCAGAUCAUCAAUCUGCAUUGAUUACGUCCCUGCCCUUUGUACACACCGCCCGUCGCACCUACCGAUUGAAUGGUCCGGUGAAGCCUCGGGAUUGUGGCCAGUUCACUUUAUUGGGAGUUGGCUGCGAGAACUUGUCUAAACCUUAUCAUUUAGAGGAAGGUGAAGUCGUAACA
RNAcentral lists this ribosomal RNA (325 nucleotides) under uncultured eukaryote. RNAcentral describes it as "partial 18S ribosomal RNA". It matches the Rfam family "Eukaryotic small subunit ribosomal RNA", at positions 1470 to 1796 of the family's 1831-position model. The record is from RNAcentral.